GACCUCCCUGCACCGAGCGACCGCCAUCUGAUGGACCUCCCUGCACCGAGCGACCGCCAUCUGAUGGACGCCAUGGAGGAACUACAACCUCCAUCAUCUUCUUCUAGAAGGUUCUCAUUGUUACCACAGGACUCCAGAACACUGGAGCAUUGUGACAUCACCACAGACCACAGGUGACUCCGCCUCAAAUCUCUCAUUGGCUCUGUAGCGCUCAGGACAGUCACAUGACUCCUCACCGCCCAUGGCUGCCGUUUUCUGUAGACUUUAUCAUCUUUCUUAUAAAAUGAAGGCAAAAAGAAGGAAAAAAUGGAAGAGAGGAACAGAGACGAGAUCGGGGGAGAUGACGGCCAAGAAAGAUCAGGGCGUCCGGCGAGGACAGACCCACCUGACGGCCGCUGCUCUCCUUUGGAUGUACCGCCAUUCCAAACUACAGAUAACAUGGCGUCUAAAGAGAAGGACAGAGAGGCUGAUACAUCUUAGAAGAAAAGCCUAAAGAAUGAUGGAGAGGAGGAAGAAUGGCCUCAGAAGCCUUAUGUAUUCUGGGAGAAUCCAGAACCAAGUGACAUCACUAUGAUGGACAGCAAAGACUGUAAAGACUAAAGACCAUAACAAUCAGAUUUGGAUUUUACAAGCGAAUACAAACGUAAUCACAUUACCAUAGGCAAAACCACUGAGAAGAUCUCCAGCGAGACCACCACAAGCCUGCUAGAGAGAACAAUUAACAAGCCUGCAUGCAAGACCACCUGCAAGAACGCUUACCAACUGGUGCUACACCACCCAAAUAAGUACACAAUUGUGUAUAUGUACAUUUCUAUAUUUUGUUAAAA
Hyla sarda is the source of this 827-nucleotide long non-coding RNA. RefSeq lists it as uncharacterized. The record is from RefSeq and is a predicted model, not a curated record. Lineage: Eukaryota; Metazoa; Chordata; Amphibia; Anura; Hylidae. The transcript has 4 exons.